CCGCCGGCCGCUGCCUGACACGCCGCGCGGCCCUCCAGUCUCCCGCGGUCGCCUCCCCCAGGCAUGGCACAGGGCCUCGCCUCACUAUGGCAGCAGCACGGCACAGCACGCUCGACUUCAUGCUCGGCGCCAAAGCUGAUGGUGAGACCAUUCUAAAAGGCCUCCAGUCCAUUUUCCAGGAGCAGGGGAUGGCGGAGUCGGUGCAUACCUGGCAGGACCACGGCUAUUUAGCAACCUACACAAACAAAAAUGGCAGCUUUGCCAACUUGAGAAUUUACCCACAUGGAUUGGUGUUAUUGGACCUUCAGAGUUACGACAGUGAUGCACAGAGCGAGGAAGAAAUUGACAGUCUUUUGAACAAAGUUGAAGAAAAAAUGAAAGAAUUGAACCAGGACGGUACUGGGCGGGUGAAGCGAUUACCACCCAUAGUUCGAGGAGGGGCCAUCGACAGAUACUGGCCCACCGCUGAUGGGCGCCUGGUUGAAUACGACAUAGAUGAAGUGGUGUAUGAUGAAGAUUCGCCUUAUCAGAACAUUAAAAUUCUACACUCAAAGCAAUUUGGAAAUAUUCUCAUCCUUAGCGGGGAUGUCAAUUUGGCAGAGAGUGACUUGGCAUAUACCCGGGCCAUCAUGGGCAGUGGCAAAGAAGAUUACACUGGCAAAGAUGUACUGAUUCUGGGAGGUGGAGACGGGGGCAUAUUAUGUGAAAUAGUCAAACUGAAACCAAAGAUGGUCACUAUGGUAGAGAUUGACCAAAUGGUGAUUGAUGGAUGUAAGAAACACAUGCGAAAAACGUGCGGUGAUGUCUUAGACAAUCUUAAAGGAGACUGCUAUCAGGUUCUGAUAGAAGACUGCAUUCCAGUACUGAAGAGGUACGCCAAAGAAGGGAGAGAGUUUGAUUAUGUGAUUAAUGAUUUGACGGCUGUUCCAAUCUCCACGUCUCCAGAAGAAGAUUCCACAUGGGAGUUUCUCAGACUGAUUCUUGACCUCUCGAUGAAAGUAUUGAAACAGGAUGGGAAAUAUUUCACACAGGGGAACUGCGUCAAUCUGACAGAAGCCCUGUCGCUCUAUGAAGAACAGCUCGGGCGCCUGUAUUGUCCUGUGGAAUUCUCAAAGGAGAUCGUUUGUGUCCCUUCAUACUUGGAAUUGUGGGUAUUUUACACUGUGUGGAAGAAAGCUAAGCCUUGAAGAUGAAUAUCCCCAAUCAUGUGUGCUGCAAAUAACCUUCCUGACCUCC
This is an RNA transcript of Propithecus coquereli (Coquerel's sifaka), 1236 nucleotides long. It is a transcript of the gene named spermine synthase pseudogene, with no coding region annotated. The record is from RefSeq and is a predicted model, not a curated record. Lineage: Eukaryota; Metazoa; Chordata; Mammalia; Primates; Indriidae. The transcript has a single exon.